ACGAACGCUGGCGGCGUGCUUAACACAUGCAAGUCGAGCGGUAAGGCCCUUUCGGGGGUACACGAGCGGCGAACGGGUGAGUAACACGUGGGUGACCUGCCCUUAGCUCUGGGAUAAGCCUGGGAAACUGGGUCUAAUACCGGAUAUGACUCCAUGACGCAUGUUGUGGGGUGGAAAGCCUUGUGCGGCUAGGGAUGGGCCCGCGGCCUAUCAGCUUGUUGGUGGGGUGAUGGCCUACCAAGGCGACGACGGGUAGCCGGCCUGAGAGGGCGACCGGCCACACUGGGACUGAGACACGGCCCAGACUCCUACGGGAGGCAGCAGUGGGGAAUCUUGCGCAAUGGGCGAAAGCCUGACGCAGCGACGCCGCGUGA
This 374-nucleotide ribosomal RNA is filed under the name uncultured bacterium. Its description in RNAcentral is "bacterial SSU rRNA". It matches the Rfam family "Bacterial small subunit ribosomal RNA", at positions 29 to 404 of the family's 1533-position model. The record is from RNAcentral.